GAGGAAGGAGGGAGGAGGGAGGAAUACAUGCAAGUCGAGCGAACGGACGAGAAGCUUGCUUCUCUGAUGUUAGCGGCGGACGGGUGAGUAACACGUGGAUAACCUACCUAUAAGACUGGGAUAACUUCGGGAAACCGUAGCUAAUACCGGAUAAUAUUUUGAACCGCAUGGUUCAAAAGUGAAAGACGGUCUUGCUGUCACUUAUAGAUGGAUCCGCGCUGCAUUAGCUAGUUGGUAAGGUAACGGCUUACCAAGGCAACGAUGCAUAGCCGACCUGAGAGGGUGAUCGGCCACACUGGAACUGAGACACGGUCCAGACUCCUACGGGAGGCAGCAGUAGGGAAUCUUCCGCAAUGGGCGAAAGCCUGACGGAGCAACGCCGCGUGAGUGAUGAAGGUCUUCGGAUCGUAAAACUCUGUUAUUAGGGAAGAACAUAUGUGUAAGUAACUGUGCACAUCUUGACGGUACCUAAUCAGAAAGCCACGGCUAACUACGUG
This 497-nucleotide ribosomal RNA is filed under the name uncultured bacterium. RNAcentral describes it as "partial 16S ribosomal RNA". It matches the Rfam family "Bacterial small subunit ribosomal RNA", at positions 28 to 507 of the family's 1533-position model. The record is from RNAcentral.